ACAGGUGGCCAAAAUGAUGAAGAAGGCAAAUGGAAUAUUUGCUUUUAGCAGCCUGGGCAUGGAGUACAAGAGUAGCAAAACAUGUUGGAGCUAUACAAAACCCAUGUUAGGUCGCAUUUGGAGUAAAGUGUGCGGUGUUGGUCACCAUACUACCAGAAGGACGUGGAAGCUUUGCAGAUAGUGUAGAAAUGGUUCACCAGGAUGUUGUCCGGUCUCGAGGACAUUGACGAUGAGGAUAGGUUAAAACGCCUUGGAUUGUUUACACUGGAAAGACGGCGACUGAGAGGAGACCUGAUAGAGGCCUACAAAAUUAUGAGAUGCACAGAUAAGGUAGAUAAUCGGGUGUCCCCCGCCCCAGGGUUGAAUUUUCAAUUACAAGGGCGCACAGAUGCAAUGUGAGAGGGGGAAAUUUUAAGGGAGAUGUACGACGGAGGAUUUCAACAACUGGUAGGAGCCUGGAACACACUGCCAGAAGACGUGGUGGAAGCAGGCACAUUGGCGAUAUUUAAGGGGCAUCUAGAUGGUUCGGUGAAUAGGGAGGGAAUAAGGAAUACGGACCGAAUAAGUGUAGAAGGUUUUUUUUUGGUUUUAGUCAGGGUAUGAUGAUCAGCACAGGCUUGGAGGGUCAAGGGCCUGUUCCUGUGCUGGUCUUCUCUUUUAUUCUAUUGUUCUUUGUCUAGUGUGUUUCAGAAGAGAACAAUGUUCGGGUCUUUGCUAUCUGUGGUAGAUUACAGGAAAAUAUGGACGGGUUGCUCAUGUGGGCUGAUCAAUGGUAAAUAGAAUUUGAUCCAGAUAACUGAAACGUGAUGUAUUUGGACAGGGCAAACAAGGAGCUAGAGGACGUAAUGAACAGUAAAUCAUUAGGAAGCACACGGAACAGAAAAAUCUCAUUGUGCGUGCACACCAGUCCUUUAAGAUAUCAGAACAGUUCGAUAAAGUGGUUCAGAAGGCAUUUGGGACAAUUGUCGAUACAAUGUGGAGCUGGAGGAACACAAUAGGUCACGCGGCAUCAGAGGAGCAGGAAAAUGGAUGUUUCGUGCUGGGACCCUUCGUCAGGACCAUGAGACAAUUGCCAUCAUUAGCUGAUGAAUAAACUUUAGAUUCAUAGAGUUUAUGCUGGAAUUAUAUAAGGCGUUGUUUAGACAACAGACAAAAUGUUGGGCACAGUUCUGGAAGCCGUAUUAAAUGAGGGAUUUGAUUGCACUGGAAAGGGUACUUAAGAGAUUUUCUCGCAUUUUGCCAGGACUUGACAGUUUCACUCAUGAGGACAGAUUGGAUAGCGUUGUUUCUCUUGGAGUAGAGGAGAUCGAUGGGACCAGACCCUGGGGCGGGGUCCCCACCAUGUUCUCCUGCAGGAGGGUGGAGUCCUGCGCAUUUCCAAGACCCUCCAUCCCGGGUGGCGGCGUCGAAAGACCUAGGUCGACUCAGAACCACAUCUGAGGAAGUGUUUGACUGGCCCAGUGAAACUGUCUCCAGUUCGGAGGCGGCAGGCGCCGAAGUGGCUGAACCAAUGACAGUAGAGCAGAAGCAAAUUGCUAGGACCCGAGGCACGAUGUGGAAGGAUAGAGACUGAAGGAGCAGAACGGGUGAAGUCUCCUGAGAGGGCAAGAGAAAUUGCUGAAGCUCUUUCAGUAAUAUUAAUUUCAAUCGAAUCUUACUUCGAUCAUUCUAAGGAUUCUGGGAUUUCACUUCAGAUGUGAAUUCAGGAUGUUGCAGAAGAUUCUUUUCAAUGAAAAGCAAAACAAAAUGCCAGCAUGUCACUACAUUACCUUAUUUGCGUCAAUUAGUAGAAUUUUUAAAAAAAAUCAAAUGAACUAUUUAUCUCUCUGGAGACUACCAUUGUGCAUAAAUUCACAUUCAGAAUGGCAAAACAGUUCCUGGUAGAAAUACACGGGACACCAAAAGGUCUGCUGUUUGUCAUUUACUGUCCCGUCAUUAUAGCUGUCGGGCUUCCAGGUAAUACAUUCAUUUACGGUGAAGGGAAUCACUGUGAGCUGUAUCAAUAUUCCAAGUUCAGGCAAGGCAUCUUUAUUUCAACGGUAUUAAAUCUUCUAAGUUCACUGCAGGGCAUUAUUUCCCGUCUUAAGUUUGAGAAUAUAUGCCUGGAAAGACUAAUCUCUCUCUUUGAACAGAUUUUAUUUUCAAAUUUAACAAUAUAUGUCCGCACUUCUACAAACAAAAUUUGUAAUUUUGCCACAGAUUCUCCCCUUUAGCAGUGCCAUUACUUCACUUUAUCUGAAUCAUGUGCUUGUUCCAUGCAUUAUAUUAGCUUUUCGGUGUGUAUAACAUUCUUUUAGUUCCGAAGAAUGUUCACCAGGCCCAAAACAUUAACUCUGCAUUCUCUCUCCGGAUGUUGCGAGACUUGUUGAGUUUUUCCAACAAUUUCUGAUUUUUUUACGUUCUUUUAUUUUAUUGAGACUGUAAAUCUGGAUCAAUAUGUACGCAACCAUCAGGUUGUAGAUCUUACUAUAUUAUGGCGUUUGCACGUUUUCUUGGAGAGAAAGUAUUACAGUGAUAUUAUGUUGUGAGUGCAUUUAAAUUGUUAAAUCUCCUUUGGGUGAUUGGUUACACUGUUUUCAUGGUCCAUGGAUGUUGACAGUAUCAAUAGAUUACGCAUAAACGAAUAACUGGUUAAACAAAGAAGCUAAAUAUUAUCCAAUUAUUAUAAGAUACAAUUAAUUGGAUAAACAUUAUUUCACAUUUUUAACACGUGCCAAAUGAUGACCACAAUAAUUAGAUUUGUUCUUGAAUGAUUUCUAUUUCUUCCUGAACGGAAUUGUGCAGCUUUUCUGCCUUCAGUCGCUGAAAUAGCUUUGUCUCCUCCGUUCCCUUCUUCCUCUUUACUUGCUUAUGACGGGUCCAUAGUAACACCUGCUGUAUCAUUCUUUCCUUCCUCUUUCUACUCUCCGAAAAUGCAUUGCACUCUACCUUUAUUGUUUCUUUUUUUUUUUCACUGAGAAAGACACAAAUUGGCAUAGCUUCUCGUUUUGCAUUGAUAAGGACAAUUCGCAAGACAUACCAACAUAAAUUGUAAACAUUUAUACUGCAUGAGAAGAGAAUGUGUUUGUCUGCAAAUGAAUGAUAACUGGGAAAAUGUCUUUCAGCAAUAUUCUGUUCAGCCUACAAAAUAACCAUAUAUUUCCUUCACUGUUUUUAAUAUACACAGUCUGACAGCAUAAUUUCAUUGUCCAGCAUAUAAUAAUUACCAUGACAAUUAUCGUUAAUUCCAACAAUUCAGAAUAAUGCUGCGGAGGUAUUGCAUAGCAGCAGAUCAACGACUAAUUUCUCUGAAUGGGAAUCACAAUCAGAGAGUUCGAAUCCAUCGUUUUGGAUGAGUUAGAUAUUCCCUAAGCAUUUCAUUUGCAAUCAGAUGACCUUAGAGUUAUGUCAGUCUGAUAGGUAGAAUCCUUUCUGCAACGUGUAAAAAAAAAGUCAGUUCUCUUCUCUGAAUUGCAAGCCAU
Rhincodon typus (whale shark) is the source of this 3461-nucleotide long non-coding RNA. RefSeq lists it as uncharacterized. NCBI's taxonomy places the organism in Eukaryota, Metazoa, Chordata, Chondrichthyes, Orectolobiformes, Rhincodontidae. The transcript has 3 exons. The record is from RefSeq and is a predicted model, not a curated record.